GGUAGCAUAAUCACUUGCCCAUUAAUUGUGGGCUAGAAUGAAAGGACUAACGAAAUAAAAACUGUCUCUAUAAGUGACAUAAAAAUUGAUCUCUAACUGAAGAUUGUUAGAUAUCGUCGAAGGACAAGAAGACCCUAUAGAGCUUUAUUUUAAUAAAUAACUAUAAUUUAUAUAAAUUCGGUUGGGGCGACCAGGGAAAUUAAAUAUCAUCCCUUAAUAGCAGAUAACUCAAUCACACACUUGACCCUUUACCAAAGAUCAUCAAAACAAGCUACCUUAGGGAUAACAGGCUAAUCCCACUAAAGAGUCCUUAUCAAUAGUGGGGUUUGGCAC
RNAcentral lists this ribosomal RNA (333 nucleotides) under Eisenia andrei. Its description in RNAcentral is "partial 16S ribosomal RNA". It matches the Rfam family "Bacterial large subunit ribosomal RNA", at positions 1955 to 2524 of the family's 2925-position model. Lineage: Eukaryota; Metazoa; Annelida; Clitellata; Crassiclitellata; Lumbricidae. The record is from RNAcentral.